Molecule: ribosomal RNA, 467 nt
Filed under: uncultured bacterium
Lineage: Bacteria
Description: partial 16S ribosomal RNA
Rfam family: Bacterial small subunit ribosomal RNA
Source: RNAcentral
GACGAACGCUGGCGGCGUGCUUAACACAUGCAAGUCGAACGGAAAGGCCCUGCUUUUGUGGGGUGCUCGAGUGGCGAACGGGUGAGUAACACGUGAGUAACCUGCCCUUUACUUUGGGAUAACUUCAGGAAACUGGGGCUAAUACCGGAUAGGAGCUCCUGCUGCAUGGUGGGGGUUGGAAAGUUUCGGCGGUUGGGGAUGGACUCGCGGCUUAUCAGCUUGUUGGUGGGGUAGUGGCUUACCAAGGCUUUGACGGGUAGCCGGCCUGGGAGGGUGACCGGCAAAAGAGGGACUGAGAGACGGCCCAGACACCUACGGGAGGCAGGAGUGGGGAAUAUAGCACAAGGGGCGGAAGCCAGAUGGAGCAACGCAGCGGGCGGGAUGACGGCCUUCGGGUUGUAAACCGCUUUCGCCUGUGACGAAGCGUGAGUGACGGUAAUGGGUAAAGAAGCACCGGCUAACUACGU